This 253-nucleotide ribosomal RNA is filed under the name uncultured bacterium. RNAcentral describes it as "partial 16S ribosomal RNA". It matches the Rfam family "Bacterial small subunit ribosomal RNA", at positions 524 to 776 of the family's 1533-position model. The record is from RNAcentral.
UACGUAGGUGGCAAGCGUUGUCCGGAUUUACUGGGCGUAAAGGGCGUGCAGGCGGUUCGUUAAGUCUAGGGUGAAAGCUCCCGGCUCAACUGGGAGAGGUCCUUGGAUACUGGCGGACUUGAGGGGAGUAGAGGAGAGUGGAAUUCUCGGUGUAGUGGUGAUAUGCGUAGAUAUCGAGAGGAACACCGGUGGCGAAGGCGGCCCCCUGGUUGGAUACUGACGCUGAGACGCGAAAGCGUGGGGAGCAAACAGG